Molecule: ribosomal RNA, 555 nt
Filed under: uncultured bacterium
Lineage: Bacteria
Description: partial 16S ribosomal RNA
Rfam family: Bacterial small subunit ribosomal RNA
Source: RNAcentral
UAGGGAAUCUUCCACAAUGGACGCAAGUCUGAUGGAGCAACGCCGCGUGAGUGAAGAAGGUUUUCGGACCGUAAAGCUCUGUUGUUGGUGAAGAAGGAUAGAGGUAGUAACUGGCCUUUAUUUGACGGUAAUCAACCAGAAAGUCACGGCUAACUACGUGCCAGCAGCCGCGGUAAUACGUAGGUGGCAAGCGUUGUCCGGAUUUAUUGGGCGUAAAGCGAGCGCAGGCGGAAGAAUAAGUCUGAUGUGAAAGCCCUCGGCUUAACCGAGGAAUUGCAUCGGAAACUGUUUUCAUUGAGUGCAGAAGAGGAGAGUAGAACUCCAUGUGUAGCGGUGGAAUGCGUAGAUAUAUGGAAGAAUACCAGUGGCGAAGGCGGCUCUCUGGUCUGCAACUGACGCUGAGGCUCGAAAGCAUGGGUAGCGAACAGGAUUAGAUACCCUGGUAGUCCAUGCCGUAAACGAUGAGUGCUAAGUGUUGGGAGGCUUCCGCCUCUCAGUGCUGCAGCUAACGCAUUAAGCACUCCGCCUGGGGGAGUACGACCGCAAGGUUGAAAC